RNAcentral lists this long non-coding RNA (383 nucleotides) under Penaeus japonicus. RNAcentral's name for it is "uncharacterized LOC122248603". Lineage: Eukaryota; Metazoa; Arthropoda; Malacostraca; Decapoda; Penaeidae. The record is from RNAcentral.
UGAAAUAUCCGCCCUAUGUGCAGCUGGUGUUCUCGCCGACCAAGUUAAAAGAAGGCGAAGAGGCCUUCGUCACGUGCCAAGUGGACGCCAACCCCAGCAACGUGACCUACCGCUGGUUCCGCGAGGGCAGGGAGGUGCUGGGCGUCGCGGGCGCCACCAUGCCCUUGGGCGUUCUCUCGAGGAGCAACCAGUCGGCCACGAUCGCCUGCGAGGUGACCAAUGCCCUGGGCACGGCGCGGAAGACGGACCAGCUCAAUAUUCUCUACCCGCCCAUGUUCCUCGCGGAGCCGAGCAGCGUGUCGGGUGAAGUCGGGAACACGGUGGCCAUGAAGUGUCGGGUGGACGCUAAUCCCAAAGCCGAGAUAUUUUGGUCGAGACUUGAG